RNAcentral lists this long non-coding RNA (201 nucleotides) under Elaeis guineensis (African oil palm). Its description in RNAcentral is "long non-coding RNA (EGUI_LNC000651)". Lineage: Eukaryota; Viridiplantae; Streptophyta; Magnoliopsida; Arecales; Arecaceae. The record is from RNAcentral.
UUGGCGUGUAGAGCUUCAUAGUCUUUUGAGAUUAGAUCUCAAAAGCUCCCUCUUCUUCCUCUUCUCAAAAAGUCCUCUAGCAUCUUCAUCCGUCUUUCCUGCGAAGAUUGAUGUACGAACGAAGUAGAGGGUCUAGAUAUCUAGAUCUCGCAGAGCAGUAGAUCUUCAGGAACUUCAACCUUGAUCAAGACUUCCACUGCG